GGCCCUGUAGAGCAAUGGUCAGCUCGUUGGACUUCGGAUCCAGAGGUUGCAGGUUCGAGUCCUGCCAGGGUCG
This is a non-coding RNA of Gaertneriomyces semiglobifer, 73 nucleotides long. NCBI's taxonomy places the organism in Eukaryota, Fungi, Chytridiomycota, Chytridiomycetes, Spizellomycetales, Spizellomycetaceae. The record is from the annotation of a GenBank genome assembly.